AGACCGAUAGCGAACAAGUACCGUGAGGGAAAGAUGAAAAGAACUUUGAAAAGAGAGUUAAACAGUAUGUGAAAUUGUUAAAAGGGAACCGUUUGGAGCCAGACUGGUUUGCCUGUAAUCAACCUAGAAUUCGUUUUGGGUGCACUUGCAGGCUAUACCUGCCAACAACAGUUUGAUUUGGAGGAAAAAAUUAAUAGGAAUGUAGCCUCUCGAGGUGUUAUAGCCUAUUAUCAUACUCUGGAUUGGACUGAGGAACGCAGCGAAUGCCUUUAGGCAAGAUUGCUGGGUGCUUUCGCUAAUAAAUGUUAGAAUUUCUGCUUCGGGUGGUGCUAAUGUUUAAAGGAGGAACACAUCUAGUAUAUUUUUUAUUCGCUUAGGUUGUUGGCUUAAUGACUCUAAAUGACCCGUCUUGAAACACGGACCAAGGGA
This 429-nucleotide ribosomal RNA is filed under the name Mucor sp. SW204. RNAcentral describes it as "LSU rRNA". It matches the Rfam family "Eukaryotic large subunit ribosomal RNA", at positions 331 to 673 of the family's 3401-position model. The record is from RNAcentral. Lineage: Eukaryota; Fungi; Mucoromycota; Mucoromycetes; Mucorales; Mucoraceae.